Molecule: ribosomal RNA, 394 nt
Filed under: uncultured bacterium
Lineage: Bacteria
Description: bacterial SSU rRNA
Rfam family: Bacterial small subunit ribosomal RNA
Source: RNAcentral
UAGCCCAGGGAAACCUGGAUUAAUACCGGAUGAGACGGGACCCGCGAUGGCGGGAUCCGGGAAAGGCGCUGCGGCGCCGCCGGGGGAUGAGUCUGCGUCCCAUUAGCUAGACGGCGGGGUAACGGCCCACCGUGGCGACGAUGGGUAGCCGGCCUGAGAGGGUGGACGGCCACAUUGGAACUGAGACACGGUCCAGACUCCUACGGGAGGCAGCAGCUAAGAAUCUUCCGCAAGUGGGACGAAAGCCUGACGGAGCGAACCGCCGCGUGAACGAAGAAGGCCGUGAGGUUAGUAAAGUUUCGUUUUCGGGAGGGGGAACAACCGUGGCAGGGAAUGGCCGCGGGAUGACGUGAAUCCCGGAAUAAGCCCCGGCUAACUACGUGCCAGCCGCCGC